Molecule: ribosomal RNA, 777 nt
Filed under: Bacillus sp. (in: firmicutes)
Lineage: Bacteria; Bacillati; Bacillota; Bacilli; Caryophanales; Bacillaceae
Description: bacterial SSU rRNA
Rfam family: Bacterial small subunit ribosomal RNA
Source: RNAcentral
GCGGACAGAUGGGAGCUUGCUCCCUGAUGUUAGCGGCGGACGGGUGAGUAACACGUGGGUAACCUGCCUGUAAGACUGGGAUAACUCCGGGAAACCGGGGCUAAUACCGGAUGGUUGUUUGAACCGCAUGGUUCAAACAUAAAAGGUGGCUUCGGCUACCACUUACAGAUGGACCCGCGGCGCAUUAGCUAGUUGGUGAGGUAACGGCUCACCAAGGCAACGAUGCGUAGCCGACCUGAGAGGGUGAUCGGCCACACUGGGACUGAGACACGGCCCAGACUCCUACGGGAGGCAGCAGUAGGGAAUCUUCCGCAAUGGACGAAAGUCUGACGGAGCAACGCCGCGUGAGUGAUGAAGGUUUUCGGAUCGUAAAGCUCUGUUGUUAGGGAAGAACAAGUACCGUUCGAAUAGGGCGGUACCUUGACGGUACCUAACCAGAAAGCCACGGCUAACUACGUGCCAGCAGCCGCGGUAAUACGUAGGUGGCAAGCGUUGUCCGGAAUUAUUGGGCGUAAAGGGCUCGCAGGCGGUUUCUUAAGUCUGAUGUGAAAGCCCCCGGCUCAACCGGGGAGGGUCAUUGGAAACUGGGGAACUUGAGUGCAGAAGAGGAGAGUGGAAUUCCACGUGUAGCGGUGAAAUGCGUAGAGAUGUGGAGGAACACCAGUGGCGAAGGCGACUCUCUGGUCUGUAACUGACGCUGAGGAGCGAAAGCGUGGGGAGCGAACAGGAUUAGAUACCCUGGUAGUCCACGCCGUAAACGAUGAGUGCUAAGUGUUA